RNAcentral lists this ribosomal RNA (775 nucleotides) under uncultured Neocallimastigales. RNAcentral describes it as "partial large subunit ribosomal RNA". It matches the Rfam family "Eukaryotic large subunit ribosomal RNA", at positions 24 to 634 of the family's 3401-position model. The record is from RNAcentral. Lineage: Eukaryota; Fungi; Neocallimastigomycota; Neocallimastigomycetes; Neocallimastigales.
UAUGUGAUCGUCUCUCGCAUAUCAAUAAGCGGAGGAAAAGAAACUAACAAGGAUUCCCCUAGUAACGGCGAGUGAAGCGGGAAGAGCUCAAAUUUGAAAUCUUAAAGGGUUUCCCUUUACGAAUUGUAGUUUAAAGAAGUGUUUUCUGUUGAGGUUUUGGUAAAAGUUCUUUGGAAUAGGACAUCAUAGAGGGUGAGAAUCCCGUAUUUGACCUUUACUUUCAACUUUGUGAUACACUUUCAAAGAGUCGGAUUGUUUGGGAAUGCAGUCCAAAAUGGGUGGUAAAUUUCAUCUAAAGCUAAAUAUUGGCGAGAGACUGAUAGCGAACAAGUACCGUGAGGGAAAGAUGAAAAGAACUUUGAGAAGAGAGUUAAACAGUACGUGAAAUUGUCAAAAGGGAAGCGUUUGACACCAGUGUUGUUUUCUCGAAAAUCAAUUAAAAAAAGUUGGAUUUUGUAUUGUUAAGACCCUAUCAGCUAACUGUACUCUUUUCUUGCUUUUUUUAAUGCACUUUUCGUUUAACAAGUCAACAUCAAUUUCUUUUGUUGUAAAAGAGCCAUUGGAAGGUGGCUUUCACUUCGGUGAAAGUGUUUAUAGCCUUUGGCUUCUGCAAUCGGAGAGAUUGAGGUCUGCAGCGUAGAUCCUUCGGGGCUAGAUACGUAGAUGCUAAGUUAUAAUUUUUUAUAGACAACUUGUUGACUAUAAUUAAUCAUGUAGCUUACUCGUUUGCGCUAUUUUACCUACGCUUAGGAUGUUGACGAUCAGCUGAGCGCGA